This 772-nucleotide ribosomal RNA is filed under the name Bacillus subtilis. RNAcentral describes it as "bacterial SSU rRNA". It matches the Rfam family "Bacterial small subunit ribosomal RNA", at positions 744 to 1512 of the family's 1533-position model. The record is from RNAcentral. Lineage: Bacteria; Bacillati; Bacillota; Bacilli; Caryophanales; Bacillaceae.
CGUUUAGGAGCGAAAGAGUGGAGAUCGAACAGGAUUAGAUACCCAGGUAGUCCAAACUGUAAACGAUGAGUGCUAAGAAAUAGGGGGUUUCCGCCCCCUUAGUGCUGCAGCUUUGUCUUUUUAGCAGUCCACUUGGGGAGUACGGUCGCAAGAAUGAAACUCAAAGGAAUUAACGGGGGCCCGCACAAGCGGUGGAGCAUGUUGUUUAAUUUGAAGCAACGCGAAGAACCUUACCAGGUCUUUACAUCCUCUGACAAUCCUAGAGAUAGGACGUCCCCUUCGGGGGCAGAGUGACCGGUGGUGCAUGGUUGUCGUCAGCUCGUGUCGUGAGAUGUUGGGUUAAGUCCCGCAACGAGCGCAACCCUUGAUCUUAGUUGCCAGCAUUCAGUUGGGCACUUUAAGGUGACUGCCGGUGACAAACCGGAGGAAGGUGGGGAUGACGUCAAAUCAUCAUGCCCCUUAUGACCUGGGCUACACACGUGCUACAAUGGACAGAACAAAGGGCAGCGAAACCGCGAGGUUAAGCCAAUCCCACAAAUCUGUUCUCAGUUCGGAUCGCAGUCUGCAACUCGACUGCGUGAAGCUGGAAUCGCUAGUAAUCGCGGAUCAGCAUGCCGCGGUGAAUACGUUCCCGGGCCUUGUACACACCGCCCGUCACACCACGAGAGUUUGUAACACCCGAAGUCGGUGAGGUAACCUUUAUGGAGCCAGCCGCCGAAGGUGGGACAGAUGAUUGGGGUGAAGUCGUAACAAGGUAGCCGUAUCGGANAGG